Molecule: long non-coding RNA, 455 nt
Organism: Malaclemys terrapin pileata
Lineage: Eukaryota; Metazoa; Chordata; Testudines; Emydidae
Exons: 2
Source: RefSeq, a predicted model, not a curated record
AUUGGGGACAUUUCCAGUAGCAUUGCUGGGUUGUCGCUGUCUAUAUUGAAACGGACAAGGCUUCUCCUUUUGGCUUAGACGUUGUGAGAAUUUUUCGUGGAUGGACUGGGCAUCUUGCCUGUCGGUUCCUGCACUGAUGUUUCUAUCGGUCACCGAGCACAUAAUCCCGCAUCUGAUCCCAACCCGACUAAGGUAGAAGACCAAUAUAAAAGGUUCCGGACCAACACCCAAGCACAGGUCCAAUUUAAGCUAUCUUUGCACUACUUCAAAAACCAACUGAAAUGCUACUCAAGAAGAUAACCCUUUUAUCCUGCUGUGUGCAAUGCCUACUGUAACCUCCCUGAUGCCCAUGGCAGGAGUACACUCUGGGUUUCCGCCUAAUUGCCUUAUUUGUGCCACACUGAAUGCCUUUCUUUUGCACGUACCUUUCUAUAAAAACUUUUGAAUGGGCUGAA